Long non-coding RNA from Temnothorax curvispinosus, 611 nucleotides. RefSeq lists it as uncharacterized. The record is from RefSeq and is a predicted model, not a curated record. Lineage: Eukaryota; Metazoa; Arthropoda; Insecta; Hymenoptera; Formicidae. The transcript has 3 exons.
GAGGCCUAGAUAAUCAGAGAAGCGACAACUCUACCCCCACCUAGAGUCCUAUACUCCCACCAUGGUUCCCAUCGGGCCCGCAGCUGAUCGCUUGUGAAAAAACUAACCUCUGAAGCGUCGUCUACAAUACGCGGAGUAAAAAAUAGGAGUAGGCGUAAGAAGUGAGAAGAACCAGUUCAUGAAAUAAAAAUAGAAAAACAAUGUAACGAGACUGAUACUACUUCUGUUCAAGUAUCAAAUGAAUAUUCUGCAAAGAUUCGUGCUAUUGAAGAGAGACAUUUAAUCCCUUUUCUACUUUCCAAAACAGAAUGUUAUACAAUUGAGGAACUGAAAUUGCAGUGUAGCAAAGCAUCACAAGUUAUUCAAGACCUGAGAGUUGAACGUGACUUAGGCCUGCAGCAGUUAUGUAAGAUGUUCAGUGAGAUUGCCAAAAUGGAGAAGGCAUUGCGCAAGUUACAGUCUACUGCUACUAAAUGUAAUUCCAAGAAGUGUACAACAAGGAAAUAGACCUAAACACUUGUGUUCAUUGUGUCUGAUUAUUUGUAAUAUUUUUCUAAUUACGAGUUUUAUAAUCAUCCGUUAUAUUUGUUAUACCUCAUACUGUCUUUAAA